AUACGAAGGGGGCUAGCGUUGUUCGGAAUUACUGGGCGUAAAGGGUGCGUAGGUGGCCUUUUAAGUCAGGGGUGAAAUCCCGGGGCUCAACCUCGGAACUGCCUUUGAUACUGGGUGUCUAGAGUGUGGAAGAGGUAAGUGGAAUUCCGAGUGUAGAGGUGAAAUUCGUAGAUAUUCGGAGGAACACCAGUGGCGAAGGCGGCUUACUGGUCCAUUACUGACGCUGAGGUGCGAAAGCGUGGGAGC
RNAcentral lists this ribosomal RNA (246 nucleotides) under uncultured bacterium. RNAcentral describes it as "partial 16S ribosomal RNA". It matches the Rfam family "Bacterial small subunit ribosomal RNA", at positions 523 to 769 of the family's 1533-position model. The record is from RNAcentral.